UGUCUACUCCCUCCGUCCCAAAAUUCUUGUCUUAGAUUCAUUUAGACAUGGAUAUAUCUGAAACUAAAACGUAACUAGAUACAUCCGUAUUUAGACAAAUCUAAGACAACAAUUUUGGGACAGAGGGAGUACUAC
Molecule: non-coding RNA, 135 nt
Organism: Triticum aestivum (bread wheat)
Lineage: Eukaryota; Viridiplantae; Streptophyta; Magnoliopsida; Poales; Poaceae
Source: Rfam